GCAACUCGACUACAUGAAGCUGGGAUCGCUAGUAAUCGCAGAUCAGGAUGCUGCGGUGAAUACGUUCCCGGGUCUUGUACACACCGCCCGUCACACCAUGGGAGUCGGAAAUGCCCGAAGCCGGUGACCCAACCAAAAGGAGGGAGCCGUCGAAGGCAGGUCUGAUAACUGGGGUGAAGUCGUAACAAGGUAGC
RNAcentral lists this ribosomal RNA (194 nucleotides) under uncultured bacterium. RNAcentral describes it as "partial 16S ribosomal RNA". It matches the Rfam family "Bacterial small subunit ribosomal RNA", at positions 1307 to 1500 of the family's 1533-position model. The record is from RNAcentral.